AAGUCGUAACAAGGUUUCCGUAGGUGAACCUGCGGAAGGAUCAUUACCAAAUUUUCCCGUGGCCAAACACCGCGUGUGAACUGGACUGCUCAUUGCUCAUUGGGCCGGCGUGCUGGCCCAAUGUGUCUAACCCCACUGUGAACCGUUGACAGUCUGUCAUUAUUUUAUCGUGCGUCGCGACGACGCGCGUCUGAAACAACAAUACACAACUUUUAACGGUGGAUCUCUUGGCUCGC
This 236-nucleotide unclassified non-coding RNA is filed under the name fungal sp. RNAcentral's name for it is "partial internal transcribed spacer region". The stretch from base 1 to 46 matches the Rfam family "Eukaryotic small subunit ribosomal RNA", at positions 1786 to 1831 of the family's 1831-position model. Lineage: Eukaryota; Fungi. The record is from RNAcentral.